This 497-nucleotide ribosomal RNA is filed under the name uncultured bacterium. RNAcentral describes it as "partial 16S ribosomal RNA". It matches the Rfam family "Bacterial small subunit ribosomal RNA", at positions 28 to 507 of the family's 1533-position model. The record is from RNAcentral.
GAUGAACGCUGGCGGCGUGCCUAAUACAUGCAAGUCGAGCGAACAGACGAGGAGCUUGCUCCUCUGACGUUAGCGGCGGACGGGUGAGUAACACGUGGAUAACCUACCUAUAAGACUGGGAUAACUUCGGGAAACCGGAGCUAAUACCGGAUAAUAUAUUGAACCGCAUGGUUCAAUAGUGAAAGACGGUUUUGCUGUCACUUAUAGAUGGAUCCGCGCCGCAUUAGCUAGUUGGUAAGGUAACGGCUUACCAAGGCAACGAUGCGUAGCCGACCUGAGAGGGUGAUCGGCCACAUUGGAACUGAGACACGGUCCAGACCCCUACGGGAGGCAGCAGUAGGGAAUCUUCCGCAAUGGGCGAAAGCUUGACGGAGCAACGCCGCGGGAGUGAUGAAGGUCUUCGGAUCGUAAAACUCUGUUAUUAGGGAAGAACAAAUGUGUAAGUAACUAUGCACGUCUUGACGGUACCUAAUCAGAAAGCCACGGCUAACUACGUG